Rhizobium sp. Root1212 is the source of this 68-nucleotide small RNA. It matches the Rfam family "int-alpA RNA". From Rfam's summary of the family: Acidobacteria (1 example), Planctomycetes (1 example), Proteobacteria. Environment (Lake Washington) Lineage: Bacteria; Pseudomonadati; Pseudomonadota; Alphaproteobacteria; Hyphomicrobiales; Rhizobiaceae. The record is from Rfam.
AGCUUGGCUAGGGUCGCCCCCGAAAAGCGGUCAUCCAGCCGCCUGCCAAGCGCUACAUCUGGAUAGUG